Molecule: ribosomal RNA, 1425 nt
Filed under: Triticum aestivum (bread wheat)
Lineage: Eukaryota; Viridiplantae; Streptophyta; Magnoliopsida; Poales; Poaceae
Description: partial small subunit ribosomal RNA
Source: RNAcentral
AUGGCGCCCUUGAUCCAGGCUGCUUCUGUCGUGAACGGCCACGAGAUGGUGACCAAAGCCGAUGGCAGCAGCACUGUGCAGGUGGCCUCCGGGGGCGCCGACACUAGCGAGAAGUUUGCGCCCUCGGUGUGGGGUGACUUCUUUGUCACCUACGUCCCUCCUAUCUCACAGAGGCCGGAGGAUUGGAUGAGAGAGCGGGCGGAGCAACUCAAAGGGCAAGUACGUCAGGCGUUCAAGGGGGGCAAGGACACCAUGACCAUAGCCGAUGCACUAACAUAUGUGGACACACUUGAGCGACUAGGCAUAGACAAUCACUUCCGUGAAGAGAUUGAAGAGGCACUAAACCUUCUGCAUGUAGAGCAGGCGGAGAUUGACGGCUCCAAUAGCCUACACAUCACCACACUUAAGUUUCGCCUAUUUCGGCAACAUGGACUUUGGGCAUCUGAGGAUGUAUUUGAUAAAUUCAGAGAGGACCAAGGUAGUUUCAGUGAAAGCCUUGGCAAUGACCCGAGGGGCCUUUUGAGCUUGUACAAUGCAGCUCACAUGGCAACACCAGGUGAGGUCGCUCUUGACGAUGCCAUCGCCUUUGCAAGGGGGCACCUGGAGGCUAUCAAAGGCAACAUCAGGUCACCAAUUGCAGAGCAGAUCUCCCGUGCCCUAGACAUCCCCCUCCCACGGUUCACAAGAAGGAUUGAAACCAUGCACUACAUUGAUGAGUAUGAGCAAGAGGGGGUGUACGAUGACAUGUUGCUAGAGCUUUCUAGGCUGAACUUUAACCUCGUUAGGAUCCUUCACCUCAAGGAGCUCAAGGACCUCUCAUUAUGGUGGAGGGAACUAUAUGAGACCAUGAAGCUACCAUAUGCUCGUGCCCGUAUGGUGGAGAUCUACUUUUGGACUUAUGGAAUGCUCCAUGAGGAGGAGUACUCUCGUGCACGUAUCCUAUUCGCCAAAGUGUUUGGAAUGGUGUCACUUCUAGAUGAUACUUUUGAUGUCCAUGCCACAUUAGAGGAGUGUCACAAGCUCAAUGAAGCAAUGCAAAGAUGGGAUGAAAAUGAGGUUUCUAUUCUACCGGAAUAUCUUCACAUGUUGUACAUCAAGACUCUCGGCAAUUUCAAAGAGUUUGAGGAUGCGUUGGAACCAAACCACAAGUAUCGCAUGACCUACAUUAAAAAAGCGUACAAGCUGUCAUCAGAAUAUUACCUACGUGAGGCUGUUUUGUCUAGCAAGAAAUAUCGGCCGAGCUUCAAGGAACAUGAGGAGAUAUCUAACAUGACCUCGGGUCUACCGAUGCUUACUCUCGUGACACUAAUGGGCUAUGGCGAUGUGGCAACCCAAGAGGUAUUUGAAUGGGUAGACAGAGUUCCUGGAAUGGUCCGCUCUGGUUCACAGGUCACUCGCUUCCUCAACGAUAUGUCUUCUUACUAG